Molecule: ribosomal RNA, 392 nt
Filed under: uncultured bacterium
Lineage: Bacteria
Description: partial 16S ribosomal RNA
Rfam family: Bacterial small subunit ribosomal RNA
Source: RNAcentral
AUACGUAGGGGGCGAGCGUUGUCCGGAUUUAUUGGGCGUAAAGGGUGCGUAGGCGGCCUUGUAAGUCAGAUGUGAAAGAUCAUGGCUUAACUGUGGUAAGCAUUUGAAACUGCAGGGCUUGAGUACAGGAGGGGAGAGUGGAAUUCCUAGUGUAGCGGGGAAAUGCGUAGAUAUUAGGAGGAAUACCAGUGGCGAAGGCGACUCUCUGUACUGAUACUGACGCUGAGGCACGAAAGCGUGGGGAGCAAACAGGAUUAGAUACCCGGGUAGUCCACGCUAUAAACGAUGAGUGCUAGGUGUCGGGGGUCAAACCUCGGUGCCGCAGUUAACACAUUAAGCACGCCGCCUGGGGAGUACGGCCGCAAGGCUGAAACUCAAAUGAAUUGACGGGG